RNA transcript from Canis lupus familiaris (dog), 5709 nucleotides. It is a transcript of the gene named sperm acrosome associated 6, with no coding region annotated. The record is from RefSeq and is a predicted model, not a curated record. The transcript is spliced from 6 exons. Lineage: Eukaryota; Metazoa; Chordata; Mammalia; Carnivora; Canidae.
CCGAGCCACGUCCCUUGGAGGGUCACUCCUGACACAGCAUCUUCCCCUGCGAGGACCUCUCUAGGAUCAGGUCCCUGCUUCAACGGAAGGUUUCCAGCUAGGACCCCAUCUUCCGAUAGUCCUGUCCCAGAUCAGCCCGGGUCUCAGUCUGGCCCCGUGCACUUUGUGACGUUUCCUUUCCAACCGGGCUGCCUCCCCUGAAACUAUGGCCCAGGGCACUGCCCCGCCCCCUCACUGAACUACACCUGGGUUGGCCCCGAAUCCCUAGUAAGCCUCAGGCCGGCGCCUGACCUUAGCGGGCAGCAGUCCUGGCCCCGCCUGCAGGAGGAAAGCAGCAGGCUUGGCUCCGCCCCUGGGGUGGGCGGUACCAGACCUGGCGCCGCCCCCCGGAGGAACGCCACCUGGCCCAGUUAGCCUAUCCCGUGGGGGAGUUUCGGAUGCGCACUUUCCUCCAGGGUAGUAACGCUUCCUCUCUCUCCACAGUCGAGGCCUGCAUCCCUCCCUGCGGGGUCCAGGAGGCGAGCCGGAGUUUCCGCUGCCGCGGGUGCUACUCCGACGUGUGCGAACUCUCGCUGGAUUGCCCAGUCCAGGACUUGACAGUGACUCGAGGUCAACAGGCUAAGUUCUCUUGCUCUGUGAACUUCUCGCUGCCUAAGGAGGAAAUCACGUAUUCCUGGAAGUUCGCAGGAGGAGGUCCGGACGCAGGACCAGUCCUACUUCCGAGACAUCCUGCAGGCCCGAGGACCCCUGGUGCGGAUCCGGCCGGUGCAGCCCAAGCACCGCGGGACCUACUGCUGCGAGAUCUCGCAAGACCAGUUCCCCGUGGCGCGGGUCUAUUUCUUUCUUAACGUGACAGGUGCGCCCCCGCGUGGGGAGACCAAGCUGCAGGUCUCCUUUCGGAAAGUGCUGGACUGGGCGCCCCGGGAGGCGGAGAUGAUCGAAUCUUGGAGGCCAAGCCUGGGCGAGCUGCUGGCCAGUUCCGGGGCUCUGACGCCCAGCAACCAGUGUCUGCUCGCCGCCGCCGCGGCCUUAGCAUCAGCCAGUGCGACGCUUGUGGUGUGGAUGUUCUUUCGAUGGUACUUCCAGGGCAACUAACAAAGGUAUCUUUUUCUCACUUUCUUAUCCUGUUUUCAUUCCUAUAAUAAAGAAUAUAUGUCAGCUCUCUAGAUUAUCUCAUCUUUGAAGGUGUUCACUACUAAUGAAGGUAGAAGGAGGGGCACCAGACCACAAAUAUACCCAGGUGAAUAUUCCCCUAAUAACAGUAACGUGUAGAGCUGACACAGUGCAACGUUCUGUGCUGAGGACUUUGAGUACAAGCUCAGGCCCCUCCCCAGAUUUCUGGCAGUCUCUUUGACAUUUCAACCUGCAGAGCACACACUCAAAUGGAGUCCUUGUUGUCUCUUUGAGAGCCUGUUCCUCCCCAAGGCUUUCCUACUGAGGGUACCACCAACCACCCAGCUGCUCAACUGGAAACCUAAGAGUUUAAUUCCUCCUCCACUUCUACUUCCAUGCCUCAGCCUUUUUAACUCCUAAACAUCUUGUGCAGCCACCCUCUCUCUGUGGUCCCAGUUACCAUCAUCUCUUGCCUGGGUUAUUCCAGCAGCAUCUCCACUCACCUCCCUGCCUCCACUCAGUGCACUACAGUCCAUCCUCCACAUAGCAGCCAGGGGAAUAUUUUGAAGUAUGUCUGAUCGGGUCACUCCUUUGCUCAAAACCCUUUAGCUCUCUAUUGCCGCUGGAACAAAAUCCAGUUCCCUGUUAGGGCCUCCAAGAUGCCCCAGGUUCUGGGCCUUGCUGAUCUGGUGAGCCUUGUCUUUCUACCCUGCAGGCGUCAUGGGUAGAUCUUUCCACCCUGCAGUUUGUCUGGCCUUUGCUUAUUCCUUAAAUUUGUCAUGAUUCUUGUCACCCUCUCCAGGACCUGGUUCGCUGUUGUUUCCUGCCUAGAAUCACGUUUUCUCCCUUCUGUGUCUAAACUCACUUAUGAUUUCCUCUGAAAAACCUUUACAUGUAUUAACCAAUUUCAUCCCUCUGACAACUCUGUGUCUGGCAGGCAGCUGGACUCCACCUCCCUUUUUUUGUCCUCUUUACUCUCUGGCCCCACUAGUCAUUUUUUUGUCUCUUGAACAUGCAAAGCUCAGUCCCACGUUCCAGCCUUUGCACAUGAUGUUCUUCAUACUUGAUGUGACUUGACUGUGAAACUCACAAAGCUACCUCCCUCUCACUGCACAGGUCCCAGCUCAAAUGUCAUCUUCACUGACCAUUUCCCUCCCUGUCAGCUGACAUCCCCCUCUCUAUUUUCACUUGUGCAUUUUACUCAUGGGACUUGAUGUCAACCUGUGUUUUUUAUUUUGGUUUGUGUCUUCUCACCUAAAAGAUAAGUUACUUCUGGGCAUCUCCUCAUUCUUGUUCACUAAUAUAUUCCCCUUUGCUCACUCCUUCAUUCAUUCAGAGAAUAUUUACUGAGUACUUCUUUUUUUUUUUUUUUUUUUUUUUACUGAGUACUUCUAUGUGCCAGGCAUUUUCAAGGCACUGUAGAGACAGCAGUGAAGAAAUCAGAACAGAUGGGGUGCUGGGAUGGUUCAGUAGUUGUGUGUCUGCCUUUGGCUACGGUUGUGAUCCCGGGGUGCUGGGAUCGAGUCCCAUGGGGAGCCUGCUCCUCUCUCUGCCUGUAUCUCUGCCUCUCUCUGUGUGUCUCUCAUGAACAAAUAAAUAAAAUCUUUAAAAAAAAAAUCACAAUAGACAAAAAUCUGCUCCCUAAAGGAGUUUAGAUUCUUUGAGGGGCUAGUGCACAGAGGUAGAGAAAGAAUCUUGUGGAGCCCGACAUGGGGCUCAAUUUCAUAUCCCUGAAAUCAUGACCUGAGAUGAAAUCAGGAGUCAGAUGCUUAACUGACUGAGCUAGCCAGGUGCCUGUGGAGUUUAGAUUGUAAUGGAUGGUCAGACAAUAAAAAGAAAAUUAAACAAAAUAAGACACGGAUCAAAUGAGAAACGGCAAGGGCAAAAUCCCUCUAGUGCACCUAAUAUUGGAGACGUGGCCAGGAGGCAUCUGGAGCAGGACUUUAGGAAACGAGUACACAAUGAAGUCAGAGAGAAUGUGCAGGACCUUGGCCACUGUAAGGUCUGGAUUUCCCUCUAAGAUGAGAGUAAUGGGCAGUUUUUGAGGCCAGGAAAGUCAUGAUUUGAUUUGAUUUGUAUGGCUACUGCAUGGACAAUGAACUGUAGGGGGCAGGAACCACUAUGAGGUGCUGUGAUAAUCUAGACAGCUAUAAUUUGGGAAGGAGAUGCAGCUCAGGGACAACUGUGGUGACAGUGACGAGUUUGGGUUUUUGGUUUUUUUUUUUUUUUCUUUUUUAAAAAUUUUAUCUAUUUGAGAGAGAGCAGAGCAUGAGAGGGAGAAGCAGACUCCCCACCAAGCAGGAAGCCCAAUGUGGGGCUCGAUCCCAGGACCCCAGGAUCACGACCUUAGCCAAAAGCAGAUGCUUAACUGACUGAGCCUCCCAGGUGCCCCUGACAGUGAGGAGCUCUAGAUCUGUCCUGAAGGUAGGAUCAGUGGGGUUCGCUGAUAGAUUGGAAUGUUAGGUGUGAGAGGAAGAAAAGAGAAGGGGCAGUGUCCAUGGUCAGGGCAGCAGAGGGUCCAGUAGAAUCCUCUGCCAUGAUGGCAAUGUUCUAGAUAUGUACUGUCCAUUGUGGUGGCUACCAGCUACCUGUGGCCAUGAAGUGGGUCAGAUGUGGCCAGUGCAACUGAGGAUCUAAAUUUAUAAUCUUUUAUAGCUUUAAUAAUUUAAGUUGUCCCUCAGCUGUGAAAAUAGAAAUCACAGAGGCAUGUGUCUUUGUGUAACUCUGGAUCACACUCUUUGUUUACUUGACAAGGAGCUCCUGGAAGGCAGGGGCUGCCUCUUACUCAUUUCUGCAUUUGCAAACCUGGCAAAAUGUGUAAUUCAGUACAUACUUGGUAAAUGGUUUCAUGACUGAUUGACAUCAUCAAAGAAUGAAUUUAAAAAAUUAAAUAGUCCUCUGUGGUAGGGGAUAUGUUGUGUGCAGUGCAGUUCUAGCAUUUUUGAUGUGAGCAGCUAGAAUGUCAGAGUUCUGUUUACUGAGAUAACGGAUGCUGUGGCAGGAGCAGUUUUCUUGGAAGGUUUCAAGGAGGGAGGAAGAGGAGGACAGAUGAGGCGUUGGGUCUGGUGAUGAGGAAGUGACUUGGAGGCAAUUGGGUAUACAAGUCGGGAAUUCUGGAGUGAGGUCUGAUCUGAAGAUACAAGUUUCAGAGCCAUGGGAACCCUGGGUGGCGCAGCGGUUUAGCGCCUGCCUUUGGCCCAGGACGCGAUCCUGGAGACCCGGGAUCGAAUCCCACGUCGGGCUCCCGGUGCAUGGAGCCUGCUUCUCCCUCUGCCUAUGUCUCUCUGCCUCUCUCUCUCUCUGUGUGACUAUCAUAAAUAAAUAAAAAAUUUAAAAAAAAAGUUUCAGAGCCAUGCCACUGAAUGCACAGAGGAAAUGAGUGUAAAUCCGUAAGAGAAGUGGAUAGGAGGAAGUUUCUCCAAAGUUAAGCCAUUUGAACCAUGAGAAGCUGAGAAGGCAGCUGUGGCAUCCCUGAAAGCCAAAUGAAGAAAGCACUUCAAGAAGAGAGUGAUCAGCUGGUCAGAUGCUGCUGCAUCAUGAGAGAGGAGGCCUGAGAAUUGGCCAUUGGUUUCAGCAACAUGGACAUCACUGAUAAACUUGACUGGAGCCAUUUCCAAAGAGCCAUGGCUGGGAGCCAUCUGAUUGGCAUGGAUUUGAAAGUCAGUGGGAGGCAACACUAGUCAUCAGAGAAAUGCAAAUCAAAGCCACAAUGAGAUACCAUUUCACACCCCCUGGGAGGCUAUAAUCAAAAAGUCAGGUGAGGGGCACCUGAGUGGCUUAGUUGGUUAAGCAUCUGCCUUGGGCUCAGGUCAUGAUCCCAGGGUCCUGGAAUCAAGCCUCGCCUUGGGCUCCCUGCUCAGCAGAGUCUGCUUUUCCCUCUCCCUCUACUCCUCACCUUACUCAUGUUCACUGUCUCUCUCAAAUAAAAUCUUUUUUAAACAAAAUCAGGUGAUAACAAAUGUUGGUGACAAUAUAGGGAAAUCAGAACCCUCCUACUUUGCUAAUGGGAAUAUAAAAUGGUACAGGCGCUGUGAAAACCACCUGUCAGUUUCUUAAAUUAAACAGGACCACCAUAUGACUCAGCAACUCCACUCCUAGAGAAGCCCACCUGAGAGAAUCUAACACACAGAGAAUCUAAGACACAUCUAACACACAGUUUCUGUUCACACAGAAACGUGUCUGUGAAUGUCUAUAGCAUUAUUCACAACAGCCAAAAAAUGGAAACAUCCCAAAUAUCCAUCGACUGAUAAAUGUGUAAACCAAAUGUAAUAUAUCCCUACAGAGGAAUAUUAUUUGGAAGUAAAAGGGAAUGAGCCAAUGAUACAUGCAACAACACAGAUGAACUUUGUGUCACAAAAAAAUAUAUAUUGCAUGAUUCCAUUUAUGUGAAAUGUCCAGAAGAGACAAAUCUGUGGAGAUAAAGCAUAGAUUGUGGUUGCCUAGGGCAUGGAGGUGGGUUCGGGGUGAGGAAUGCAAGUGACUGCCAGUGAAUGUGGAGUUCCUUUUGGGGGGUGAUGAAAAUGUUCUAAAAUUAGAUUAUGGUAAUGGCUGCAGGAGUCUAUAAAGUUACUAAAGACCAUUGAAUUAGGCACUUAA